Molecule: long non-coding RNA, 1353 nt
Filed under: Cyanistes caeruleus (blue tit)
Lineage: Eukaryota; Metazoa; Chordata; Aves; Passeriformes; Paridae
Description: lncRNA (ENSCCEG00000000953.1)
Source: RNAcentral
AUAAUAUAAUAAUAUAUUUGAAUAUAUAUAAAUAUAAUUAAAUACAUAUAAAUAUAAUUAUAUUAUUAAAGCAGGAGAAACACAGCAGCCAGGAGCUGCGAAAAUGACAGCACCACAUUCCCUGACCUCUGCAGUGCUUGUCUGAAGCUGUCUGUACCUGUGCUGUUAAACAGGAACCUGCCUCUGUCCUUGAAACCCAGUGGUGUCUCAGCAUGGCUGAACUGUCUUCCCUCCUUGGAAAAGAGCGUUGCCUGGAUUUCUCUUCUGUGACUGGUGAAGAGUGGAAUGGAAAACUUCAAGCCAAAAAUGUGCUGAAGGCUGAUCUCCAUCUUCAUAUUUAUACCUUAAUAUAAGAACCUUUCAUUAUUGGCUUCCCUUUCUGUUUAGAUUUAAUAGGAAUGUUUCAAUUAGGUUCCAGAAGUGAAUGAAAUAUUUGAAUCAUCAAGAGUGUAAGGAUGCAGUGUGGAAGGGUGGAAGGGAAUAUGUUUGUCCCUCCCUUUCCCUCAGUGCAGAGAUGUGUUUGAUGUGCCCCAGAUGUGUUUGAUGUGCCUCAGAUGUGUCUGAUGUUCUAAUACCACAUUCCAGCCCUUUACAGCUCUUCUGUGUUAAGUGUUCAGCCUCGUGGUGAAGGAGAGAGCACAAUUUAUGCUGAGUGCUCCAGCUCUCUGCUGUGCCUUACACUCUCAGAAAUUUUCAGACAAUUUCAGAAGAAUUAUGACACAAAAGGCAUGAAAUUGGAAACAAAAAGCCACAGCUAAAUUGUUUGUAAAGUCACUGCUAUGGAGAUAUAGAUCCAAAUCUUCUGAAGGCAUGAACUGAUGGAACUCUUUGUCUUCAGUGGAGCAAUAAUCUCACUGGCUCACAGCAAAUUAUCCUCUCCUCAUUUGAAAGGCGGUGCAGCAGCAUAAUCAAGGCAGCCAAGGCUGCCUAAAACCUGGGAUUCUUCUUCAAAGGUGAAGUCAGAGAGCUUCUGAAUGCAGCUGCAUGUGGGGUACCCUGAACUCCCUGACAAAACUAUUUGAGCCAUCUACAGCACAGCAUGGGGUGUAAAGAAAGCAGCUAGGACUGAAUUCAUUAAGUGUAGAAAGGAAAAUUUUUAGAUUUUUUUUUUUUAAAAAUAUUAUUCACAGCUCCUUAGUGAGUUCCUAAGAGAAAAAGCACUUUGAGGUAUUAUAUUUCUUCAUCUUUAUCUCCUCCUCCUUCUCCUUUUAUGUACAUAGCAGGGUUUGGCUCUGAGGUACAAUGUCAAAUGAAUUUUAGUGCUUUGUAACCAAAGACAGGAGAAGGAAGUUUUUUCCUCAGCCUUCUGCUAUACUUUAAACCAUCUCCAACUGCCCCAUUUCUUUCUAAGAC